GUGUGUUUGUUUUAUCUUAUCUCAUUUUAUUUCAUUUCAUUUUUCACCGGUUCAUUUCAGAGAUGUGUCCAAUACAGAGAGCAAGGCACAUCACUUCUCUCCUCACACCACUGCUACUCUCUAGGUCGGAAGAAGAAAAGGACCAAUCCCCAGUAGGGUGUCAGGAUGGUCUACUGGGGAAGGCUGAAAAUUUGCAAAGUGGGAGAUGAAAAUAAUGAUGGAAAGGGGUUAUCUCUUAGAGUUGUAGCUGUAUCAUAUAUAUGAAGCCUCCUAAAGCCAGUAUGUACAGAGCCAUCUUUUCCACAACUAUUAAAAAGUUGCUGGUGAGUGGCCAACAACUACCACACUGACCUGCAGACCAGAAAGUGGACAAGGGUUACUGUACCCAGGCUGAGAAGUGAACAAAUACGGAGUUCAUGGAAGAGGUGGGGCAUUAUCCAAAGGAUUUUUGUUACUUACAAAUCUCCCUAACAUCAAGUGCAUGCACAAUAAACUGUGUCUGGUUAAGGA
This is a long non-coding RNA of Falco peregrinus (peregrine falcon), 510 nucleotides long. RefSeq lists it as uncharacterized. NCBI's taxonomy places the organism in Eukaryota, Metazoa, Chordata, Aves, Falconiformes, Falconidae. The transcript has 2 exons. The record is from RefSeq and is a predicted model, not a curated record.